RNAcentral lists this long non-coding RNA (2077 nucleotides) under Trifolium pratense (red clover). RNAcentral describes it as "long non-coding RNA (TPRA_LNC014099)". Lineage: Eukaryota; Viridiplantae; Streptophyta; Magnoliopsida; Fabales; Fabaceae. The record is from RNAcentral.
UUGUUGAUUUUUGUGUUUGUUUGUUAUGCUGUGUUGUGUGGGAUUUUUGUUAUUCUUUUUGCUUUGUUGUGGUGGUGAUUUCGUUUUUUAUAUAUCGUUUGAGAUUUUUGUUAUUCUUUUUUGUUUGUUGUGGUGGUGAUUUCGUUUUUCAAAUUCCAGGGUGGAAAAAUUCACACUACUGCUUGGAAGCAGCUGCUAUACCUGUUUCAGAGGAAGUUGGAGGAAAGGCUUGUCUAUGUUUUGUUUGUGGUUGAUGCCAAGGUGUGUAUUGUUUUUACAAUUUUUAUCCUUAUUUAUUCUUUCUCCUUCUCAUUAGAUUUUGUGUGUUUUGGUUGUUUGGUCGUUUAAUUGAAGGGUUCAUUUGUGAUUUUUUUAUUUUUUUUUCUUUUGCAGGAUUUGAUUUUAAUUCUUUGUUUCAUUUCAAGGUUUGAACUUAUUUCUUGUUUUAUUUGUGAUUCUAUUUUGUAUAUUUUGUAUCUUGUUUCUUUUUCAUCUAACAAUGGAGUNNNNNNNNNNNNNNNNNNNNNNNNNNNNNNNNNNNNNNNUUCAUCUACCAUAUGCUUAUGAUAAAAUAAAUAUUUACAAAACUUGGGUUGAAGAAUACGAUUGUGAGGAUGGUGUUAGAUUCCAGGUAUGGUUCUGGAUGUAUGUUCUGCAUAUAUACAGGGAUUUUGAUAAAUUGGGUUGAAGGACUCGGUUAUGUGAUUAGCUUAUGAUCUCUAUCUCUUGGUUAAACCAUUUAAAUACUUUACUUGUCUUUUUCUGUAUGCUAAUGAUCUUAUUACGUAACUAAUUGCAGGCCUCUUCCUUUGUAUGAUUGCCGCUUAACUGGUGCAAGUAUUCAGGUAUUUGGCAUGCAUCGUUAUGCAGUUGCAGAAUUUAGGUAAACUGCUAGGGUUAAGUGGCAGAUAUGCAAGCUGCGCACUGUAACAAUGUUGUUCCAAUUCAGUGCAAUGUAGUGUUUACCAUAAAAAAAGAAAGUAAUUGGUUCAAUUCAGUGUUGUAGUUUAUUUGAACCUGGCAAGCAAAAUGUGUUUAUUUUUUUGCUCAAUUAGAUUCUAAGGUGUUUGUUUAUUCUUAAAAUCAACGUGACUCAUAAAAUUAUGCCAAAAAAACAAGAAAGUGUGAAAGAUUGGCAUACUGAUUUACUUGCUUGUUGUUCUGAACCUUAUUUUUUAUGUACUUUCCUGUUAAUUUGAUUUUCUUUAGUUAUGUGAGUAAUUAAAGAAUAUUUUCAUCUUAGAUAAUAUAAGUAUAUAAUUUGAUUUGUAGGUAUAAAGACAUUCUUGUAUCCAUGUGGGACAUUCUUGAUGAUGUUUUCACUAUUGGUCCACUUCCUAUUUUAUGUUCUCAUAAACAUAGUAUGCAGUCAAUACAAAGUGUAGCUGGAGUUGUAGAUGCUCAUGUAUUUUAUAGAAAGAUCAUGAUUAAUUUAGUUAUAAUUGAUUGGGAAUUUGUUAUAGUGUUGAUAUUCUUAGAUGUGUUGUUGAAAGCUUACUUUUUGAGAUCAAUGAUCUACCAAAUGUUUGCUUUUGUUUUUAAAACACUUUGACACCAUUAAAUAUGCUUUUGCAGGGUGUCCCCCCCCUCCGCCCCUCUUUUUGCAACCAUGGUUGAUCCUUAUUUUGAUAGUUUGAAGGAUGCAGAUGCUGUGGUACCUAGAUUUUAAGCUUGGAAUAAACUUGACCCUGCUGGAGCAUCACUCGACACUAGCCAAUUGCAAAGCACAAAUUAAAUUUGAUUUUGGUUAUUAUAAUUUGUUCAUACAUUUGGUUUUUCCUUUUAUAUGGCUUUGAAAUGUACAUUGUUGUUUGACCUCUUAAUUAAAUGUAUCUUUAGAGUGCUGAAUCAAUAUCAUUGAUGCUAAUGAAGAGGUUUUUAAAUCAUUACAGUUCAAAUGUGUCAUGGAAUUUAGAACAUGACAAGAGUUCAUUGAAACCAUUCAUUAGUUCUUUGUUCUUGAUGGCAAAGGCUAAAUUUGUGAAGAAUAAUAGAGUCAAGUGUGUGGGUUUGACUUCUUAACAUUUGUGAGUUGAAUUAGAAAUAGUCAAAUAGCUACACAGAAGACAUUGUAGUC